GUUUGAUCCUGGCUCAGAUUGAACGCUGGCGGAAUGCUUUACACAUGCAAGUCGAACGGUAGAGGGGGCAACCCCUUGAGAGUGGCGAACGGGUGAGUAAUAUAUCGGAACGUGCCCAGUCGUGGGGGAUAACGUAGCGAAAGUUACGCUAAUACCGCAUACGAUCUAAGGAUGAAAGCGGGGGAUCGCAAGACCUCGCGCGACUGGAGCGGCCGAUAUCAGAUUAGGUAGUUGGUGAGGUAAAGGCUCACCAAGGCGACGACGGGUAGCCGGCCUGAGAGGGCGACCGGCCACACUGGGACUGAGACACGGCCCAUACUCCUACGGGAGGCAGCAGUGGGGAAUAUUGGGCAAUGGAGGGAACUCUGACCCUGUGACGCCGCGUGCGGGAUGAAGGCCUUCGGGUUGUAAACCGCUUUCAGCAAGGAAGAAGCGAAAGUGACGGUACUUGCAGAAGAAGCACCGGCUAACUAUGUGCCAGCAGCCGCGGUAAUACAUAGGGUGCAAGCGUUGUCCGGAAUUAUUGGGCGUAAAGAGCUCGUAGGUGGUUCGUCACGUCGGAUGUGAAAAUCCUGGGGCUUAACCCCUGACCUGCAUUCUAUACGGGCGAGCUAGAGUGUGGUAUGGGAGAUUGGAAUUCCUUGGUGUAGCGGUGGAAUGCGUUUAUAUCUUGAGGAACAUUCAUGGUGAAUGUAGGUCUCUGGGGCCUUUACUGACCCUGAGUAGUGAAAGCCUGCGGAACCUAUAGGAUUAGAUACCCUGGUAGUCC
This 769-nucleotide ribosomal RNA is filed under the name uncultured bacterium. Its description in RNAcentral is "bacterial SSU rRNA". It matches the Rfam family "Bacterial small subunit ribosomal RNA", at positions 11 to 796 of the family's 1533-position model. The record is from RNAcentral.